UCCGCUACUGAGAACGUGCGCGCAGAAAGGACCCAGCCGCGCCGUCCGCUCCUUCGCGCAAGCCCCCCUCCCCCACACACAGCCGCCGCACCCUUCUUCCUGUCCUCCACCCCGCCUGGGCGCCGCCUCCUCCUCUCCCUCUUCCGCGGCUCGCCCAGCCACCGUUCCCAGCCCCGCUGCUUCGUCGUUUGCUCCUCCACUGACGGCAGUUUAGGUAAGACGAAGAUGAGCGUCCGAUCUACGCCCUCGCCAGGUUGCCUCCAUUAGUGAGGAGCGGCCGAUCCACGUGUGUGCCGUCGCUGCAGGGAUAGCGAAUGUCAGCGAGAUAGGCCGUCGUUGGAGCACGCAGCCGUGCCCCCCUCCGCUUCUCCUGGCGGCACCUCUCUACCGGAGUCCAUUCUUCUUGGCUUUCAACGCUGCCUGUUCUUGCUGUGAACUAUUGUUAUAUUACGCUCUGCAGUCGCUCUGCAGAUGGGAGGAAACAAUGAGGACAGGGCAGUUUUUAUGCAGAUGUUGAUGUUUUUGGCUGGAAUCAACACCCUUCUAAAGAGUUUCUUUGGUUACCUAAUUGCCUGCAGUGAUUGGUGGAUCACACACCUUUGUUCUACCUACCAUUUUGAUCAUACUUGUGGGACGCUAUGCAGACGAAUCAGAUCCACACGUAUUAUAUGUUGAAAAGAAGGGUAAUUCUACUUGCCUCCCAGUAAUCUUUUCCUGCAUGUAAACUGAUGAGUCACCUGGAUUUCGUUUUUGAUGGAAUUCCCCAAAAUCUUGCAUGGAGCAAAAGGUGCUUUGAUCGUUGCUUCUGUACUUGGUGAUCUUCUUUACUGUUUAAUAGUUGCUUCAUGUUUCUAUAGGAUACCCCCAUGCUACAUGGCAACCAUAGUGAGCAUGUCAAAAGUUUAGCAUGAUUAUUAUAAUUCUCUUCUCUGUAAAUUAUUAUAUGAAGUUUGCGUUUUGCUUGGUUAACUCUUCUGAAGCUCACAUGCUUUUCUUAAAGCUUGGUGCUGACACUCAUAAAUCUGUUGUAGGCUCACUAUAUAAGAUAAUGAAUCUGUGUUCUAUAGACUAUCGUGGUAAAGAGGUUUUUAUCAGGUUAUUCAUUCCCAUGCAUUGAACCUAUGGUUCUAACUUUUGCCCAUGAUAAAGAAAAUGGGGUUUACCGCUUUUAAUCAACAUCUAAUUAAACCAACAAAACAUCUACAGUUCCGCCAACAUAACAUUUUUUUUGCUGGUGGACAUACCAAAUUACUCAUAUGUAUCAUAUUAUGUUGCUUCCCUUAUUGUUUUCUCCCAGGAAUGACGAGGCAUUCAGGUUCUCUUUUUAGCUUUCCUACACAGGAACAUAUUGCAAAAUUAAUAUACAUAACGUUGUUCCACCUACAGGUCUAUCUUAUAUCUACAGGAUCCUUUGCAUAUUGGCCUCUUCUUACCGGCAUCUGGUAAAAGUUGUGAUCGAGGAGAAGAUAAUGACUGUCUUAUAACUCUGGCAAGCCCGGCUGACAGUCCUUCUUGCUCUCCUCUUGGUAUAACAUUCAAUGGUAGUGAUAGCUUUGGGCGUGACUCUGCACCCUUUCAUGUAAUUGUGUUCCUUGAACGAUAUUUAUAAUUGUGAUACUCAGUUUAUGAGAGACAAAUGGACCAAUGGUUAAUGAUCCUGCGUUGAGAAAAAAAAUGGAAUGUGCAUUGAGUGGCUUUAGUUUUCUUUGC
Molecule: long non-coding RNA, 1710 nt
Organism: Triticum dicoccoides
Lineage: Eukaryota; Viridiplantae; Streptophyta; Magnoliopsida; Poales; Poaceae
Exons: 4
Source: RefSeq, a predicted model, not a curated record